Molecule: ribosomal RNA, 253 nt
Filed under: uncultured bacterium
Lineage: Bacteria
Description: partial 16S ribosomal RNA
Rfam family: Bacterial small subunit ribosomal RNA
Source: RNAcentral
UACGGAGGGGACUAGCGUUGUUCGGAAUUACUGGGCGUAAAGCGCGUGUAGGCUGACCGGAAAGUCGGGCGUGAAAGCCCUGGGCUCAACCCAGGAACUGCACUCGAAACUCCCGGUCUAGAGUGGUGGAGAGGGAAGUGGAAUUCCUGGUGUAGAGGUGAAAUUCGUAGAUAUCAGGAGGAACACCAGUGGCGAAGGCGGCUUCCUGGACACCAACUGACGCUGAGACGCGAAAGCGUGGGGAGCAAACAGG